GACGAACGCUGGCGGCGUGCUUAACACAUGCAAGUCGAACGGAAAGGCCCUGCUUUUGUGGGGUGCUCGAGUGGCGAACGGGUGAGUAACACGUGAGUAACCUGCCCUUGACUUUGGGAUAACUUCAGGAAACUGGGGCUAAUACCGGAUAGGAGCUCCCGCUGCAUGGUGGGGGUUGGAAAGUUUCGGCGGUUGGGGAUGGAAUCGCGGCUUAUCAGGUUGUUGGUGGGGUAGUGGCUUACCAAGGCUUUGACGGGUAGCCGGCCUGAGAGGGUGACCGGCCACAUUGGGACGGAGAUACGGCCCAGACUCCUACGGGAGGGAGCGGUGGGGAAUAGUGCACAAUGGGCUGAAGCCUGAUGCAGCAACGCCGCGUGCGGGAUGACAGCCUUCGGUUUGUAAUCCGCUUUCGCCUGUGACGAAGCGUGAGUGACGGUAAUGGGUAAAGAAGCACCGGCUAACUACGUG
RNAcentral lists this ribosomal RNA (468 nucleotides) under uncultured bacterium. RNAcentral describes it as "partial 16S ribosomal RNA". It matches the Rfam family "Bacterial small subunit ribosomal RNA", at positions 28 to 507 of the family's 1533-position model. The record is from RNAcentral.